GUACUAAGGAAAAGAGAAAAUGGAGGAGGGCAAUUACCAAAACAAGAAAUCAUCUAAUAAAACAUGAUCCACAGAACAGGAAGCCUGAUUUCUCUUGUCAAGUCACUAAACAGGCAAGAGCCUUCUCAGAUAUGUCCUGAACACCUUCUCUUUGCCUGACAAGUUCAAGAAAUUAAGUCAAAUAAGUAUUUGAUGGAAAUCUACCUGGCUCCAAAGACUGGGCUUCUAACAAUCCUCUCCACAACGUUUGAAUACAAAAAAAGUAUCCUGCUAAAGGACAAAGCCCCUCCAUCUCUUCCCGCCAAGCUCUCUGCGUGCCUGGUGAGAGGUAUAGCACUUUUGCUUUCUUUUUCAAUUUGCUCUUUAAAUGAGUGACAAUAUCACCUAGUGAUUAAGGACCUGCCUGGAGCUGGGCUGAUGCUUGGAGUUGGGCUGAACCUGAGCCUGAAUUCGAGCUCUUCUUCUUCUUGCUGACUUUGACCCUAGGUGAGUUAAUUUUUCUAAGCUUCAGUUUCUUGGUCUAUAAAAAGGAGGAUGAUAAUUCUUUUCUCACUCAGUAUUGUUUUAAAGAUUAGUAAGAUAAUAUAUGCAACGCAUUUAGCACAGUGCCUUGCACAUGAUAAACCCUGAAUAAAUGGUAGCCAGUUUUAAAAUACAACAUAAUUUUAAGCGUUGGUAUUUCUUAUGACUCCAAUCUCAUCCCUCCUUUUCCAUUGUCACUACAUUUGCUCUGUGUCUCCCAUAUCGAAUCUGGAACUUGCAUUCAAAGCCUUUAUCUCUCAGUGCCAAAAGAGUAGCCCCUCAUGGAUGAACAAAGGUACUCAAAUUCAACAUGCCCAGAAUUAAACCCAGUAAAUGGGGAUUCAGUCACAACCCCAGUCUAUCCACCUAAGGGACAAAGUCCUGGCAGUCACCUAAGACUCCUCAUUAUCUUCAACCCCCAUCCCUGAUCAGUCACCCUAUUGGUUCUAACUUAUAAUAUUCAUUUAUUUUAUCACUACUGCCACAACCUGGGGUCAGACAUCAAACUUCUCUAUUCUGCCCCAUUGUUACCUCUUGACUACAAUCUCUGCCUCAAAUCUAAUCUGACCUCAUUCCUCUAUCUACUCUGCUAUGAAAGAGAUUACAGUUACACAUAUCUAAUUUUAUUACCUUUCCAUAUAAUGGUUCUCCAUUCUCCUGUGGGGUGCAUACAGUUUAGGGAACAUAAAAGUAUUCACUGGGAGCUAAGAAGAAAAUACCAUUUUUUUUUAAAAUUUUAUUUUAACAAUUAUUUUGAAUAUAUUUAAAAGUAUUUAUUUAUAAUGUAUGUGAUAUAGUAGUAAAGUAAAGUAAUACAUAUGAGUGAUGGUUAAUUUUAAGUGUGUCUCUGGCUAGGCCACAGUGCCCAGAUAUUUGAUCAAAAAUGUAUGAAUGUUACUCUGAAGAUAUUUUUUUAGAUCAAAUUAACAUCUAGGGGAGUACCCAUUGUGGCUCAGUGGAAAUGCCUCCAACUAGUAACCACGAGGGUACAGGUUGGAUCCCUGGCCUUGCUCAGUGGGGAGCUGUAGUGUAGGUCACAGAUGUGGCUCAGAUCCUGAGUUGCUGUGGCUGUGGUAUAGGCCAGCAGCUGUAGCUCCAAUUCAACCCCUAGCCUGGGAACUUCCAUAUGCCGCAAGUGUGGCCCUAAAAAACACAAUAAAAUAAUAUAAACAUCUAAAUCAAUAGAUUUGUAGUAAAGCAGAUUACCCUCCAUAAUGUGGGUGGGCCUCUAUCAAUCAGUUGAAAGCUUCAAGAUAAAGACUGACUUCUCCCAAAGGAGGGAGAAUUUUGCCAGCAGGUUGCUAAAGGUUGCUAAAAUAUCAAAUCGUUGCUAGUAUCUAACUUACAGUCUACCCUGCAGAUUUUGGACUUGCCAGCCUCCACAAUCAUGUGAGUCAAUUCCUAAAAAUAAAUCUCUCUCUCUAUCUCUCUCUCCCUCUCUCUCUCUCUCUCUCUCGAGUGUGUGUGUGUGUGUGUGUGCGUGUGUGUGUGUGUGUGUGUAUCCUUUUGGUUCUGUCUCUCUGAAGAAGCUUGACUACUACAGUAAUUUUAAAAUGUAUAUAAUAUGUUCAAAAGUUUUUCAGAACCAAUGUUGUAAAGCUUUUUUUUCCAUAGUUUUUCACUAGGAGUUUUAGAAUUUCAGGUCUUCCAUUUAAGUCUGUUAUCCAUUUUGAAUUGAUUUUUGUAUAUGUUGUAACAUGAGGUCUAGUGUCACUCUUUUUUGCAUGUAAAUUUCCAGAUUUCCAACACCGUUUGUUGAAGAGACUAUCUUUUCCCCAUUUUGUACUCUUGACAAAAACCAGUUGACCACAUGGGCACACAUUUAUUUCUGGGCUCUCUGUUUGGUUCCACUGGUUUGUAUGUUGGUCUUUAUGCCAGUAUAUACUAAUUUGAUUAUGGUAGCUUUGUAGUGUAUUUCAAAAUAAGGAAAUAUGAUGCCUCCAGGCUUGUUCUCUUUCAAGAUUGUUUGAGCUAUUCAUAUAUUUUGUGGGUUCAUAUAGAUUUAGAAAUGUCAUUGGGAUUUUGAUAUGGAAUGUGUUGUGUUGAAUUUGUAGAUUGCUUUGGGCAACAUGGACAUUUUAACAAUAUUAAAUCUUACAAACCAUGAAUACAGGUUUUCAUUUGUUUGUGGUCUUUAAUUUCUCGUAUCAGUGUUUUGUACUUUUUAUUAUAGAAGCGUUUUGCCUCCAUAGUUGUUUAUCCCUAAGUAAUUUAUUCUUUUUGAUGCUAUUUUAAAUGGAAUUGUCAUCCUAAUUUCCUUUCAAGGUGCUUUGUUGUUAGUGUAUAGAGAUGCAAUUGAUUUUCAUAUAUUGAUUUUUUUUUUAUCUUGCAACUUGAUUAAAUGUAUUUAUUAGUUUUAAACACUAUUCUUAUGGAGGCUAUAUGUGUAUAGAUAGAUAGAUAUACACACAUACAUAUGUGAUUGUACUGUCUACAAUCAAGAAAAAUUUACUUCUUCCUUUCCAGUUUGGAUGUCUUUUUUUCUUUUUCUUGUCUAAUUUUUCUGGCUAGGCACAAAAAAAUAAAUAAAUAAACAAAUAAAAAACAAUAGCCUGGGAACCUCCGUAUGCCGUAGGAAGUGGCCCUAGAGAAAAAAAAAGGCAAAAAGACAAAAAAUAAAAAUAAAAA
This 3150-nucleotide long non-coding RNA is filed under the name Sus scrofa (pig). Its description in RNAcentral is "lncRNA (ENSSSCG00050032669.1)". The record is from RNAcentral. Lineage: Eukaryota; Metazoa; Chordata; Mammalia; Artiodactyla; Suidae.